This 217-nucleotide unclassified non-coding RNA is filed under the name uncultured Hygrocybe. RNAcentral's name for it is "sequence contains ITS2". Lineage: Eukaryota; Fungi; Basidiomycota; Agaricomycetes; Agaricales; Hygrophoraceae. The record is from RNAcentral.
CCACCCUCAAUGAGGACCUUUCUUUUCGGAGAGAUGCUUUCUUGUUGGAAUGUGGAGUGUGCUGGCUUGUUCAGCUCCUCUGAAAUGCAUUAGCGAUGUGGUGUCCCACAUGCUUGAGCUUGCAUUGGCAUUGAUAGUCAUUCAUGUCAGAGUAGUUCAGCUGUGGAAAGGUUCACUUGCUCCUAAUUGCGAUGGACUCUCUCCAUCCUUUGACCCA